GCCCCCGUCGUACCGGUAGGUACGCACCCGAAAAGCAAGUCCUCCUAAACCGGGGGUAGCUGGAAAGCGUGGGUUCGAAUCCCACCGGGGGCA
This 93-nucleotide transfer RNA is filed under the name Phytohabitans maris. RNAcentral describes it as "tRNA-OTHER". The record is from RNAcentral. Lineage: Bacteria; Bacillati; Actinomycetota; Actinomycetes; Micromonosporales; Micromonosporaceae.